CCUACGGGGUGCAGCAGUGGGGAAUAUUGGACAAUGGGCGAAAGCCUGAUCCAGCCAUGCCGCGUGUGUGAAGAAGGCCUUCGGGUUGUAAAGCACUUUCAGUGGGGAAGAAAGCCUUGGGGCUAAUACCCUCGAGGAAGGACAUCACCCACAGAAGAAGCACCGGCUAACUCCGUGCCAGCAGCCGCGGUAAUACGGAGGGUGCGAGCGUUAAUCGGAAUUACUGGGCGUAAAGCGCGCGUAGGCGGUCUGAUAAGCCGGUUGUGAAAGCCCCGGGCUCAACCUGGGAACGGCAUCCGGAACUGUCAGGCUAGAGUGCAGGAGAGGAAGGUAGAAUUCCCGGUGUAGCGGUGAAAUGCGUAGAGAUCGGGAGGAAUACCACUGGCGAAGGCGGCCUUCUGGACUGACACUGACGCUGAGGUGCGAAAGCGUGGGUAGCAAACAGGAUUAGAUACCCUGGAGUC
This 464-nucleotide ribosomal RNA is filed under the name Vreelandella stevensii. RNAcentral describes it as "partial 16S ribosomal RNA". It matches the Rfam family "Bacterial small subunit ribosomal RNA", at positions 338 to 795 of the family's 1533-position model. The record is from RNAcentral. Lineage: Bacteria; Pseudomonadati; Pseudomonadota; Gammaproteobacteria; Oceanospirillales; Halomonadaceae.